GACGAACGCUGGCGGCGUGCUUAACACAUGCAAGUCGAACGGUGAUGCUCCAGCUUGCUGGAGUGGAUCAGUGGCGAACGGGUGAGUAACACGUGAGCAACCUGCCCCAGACUCUGGAAUAAGCGCUGGAAACGGCGUCUAAUACUGGAUACGAAACUGGCCCGCAUGGGCAUGGUUUGGAAAGUUUUUCGGUGUGGGAUGGGCUCGCGGCCUAUCAGCUUGUUGGUGAGGUAAUGGCUCACCAAGGCGACGACGGGUGGCCGGCCUGAGAGGGCGACCGGCCACACUGGGACUGAGACACGGCCCAGACUCCUACGGGAGGCAGCAGUGGGGAAUAUUGCACAAUGGGCGAAAGCCUGAUGCAGCGACGCCGCGUGAGGGAUGACGGCCUUCGGGUUGUAAACCUCUUUCAGCAGGGAAGAAGCGAAAGUGACGGUACCUGCAGAAGAAGCACCGGCUAACUACGUG
RNAcentral lists this ribosomal RNA (468 nucleotides) under uncultured bacterium. RNAcentral describes it as "partial 16S ribosomal RNA". It matches the Rfam family "Bacterial small subunit ribosomal RNA", at positions 28 to 507 of the family's 1533-position model. The record is from RNAcentral.